This 491-nucleotide ribosomal RNA is filed under the name uncultured bacterium. RNAcentral describes it as "partial 16S ribosomal RNA". It matches the Rfam family "Bacterial small subunit ribosomal RNA", at positions 29 to 506 of the family's 1533-position model. The record is from RNAcentral.
AGUGAACGCUGGCGGUAGGCCUAACACAUGCCAGUCGAACGGCAGCACAGUAAGAGCUUGCUCUUACGGGUGGCGAGUGGCGGACGGGUGAGGAAUACAUCGGAAUCUACUUUUUCGUGGGGGAUAACGUAGGGAAACUUACGCUAAUACCGCAUACGACCUACGGGUGAAAGCAGGGGAUCUUCGGACCUUGCGCGAUUGAAUGAGCCGAUGUCGGAUUAGCUAGUUGGCGGGGUAAAGGCCCACCAAGGCGACGAUCCGUAGCUGGUCUGAGAGGAUGAUCAGCCACACUGGAACUGAGACACGGUCCAGACUCCUACGGGAGGCAGCAGUGGGGAAUAUUGGACAAUGGGCGCAAGCCUGAUCCAGCCAUACCGCGUGGGUGAAGAAGGCCUUCGGGUUGUAAAGCCCUUUUGUUGGGAAAGAAAAGCAGCAGGUUAAUACCCCGCUGCUCUGACGGUACCCAAAGAAUAAGCACCGGCUAACUUCGU